Molecule: ribosomal RNA, 465 nt
Filed under: uncultured bacterium
Lineage: Bacteria
Description: partial 16S ribosomal RNA
Rfam family: Bacterial small subunit ribosomal RNA
Source: RNAcentral
CCUACGGGAGGCAGCAGUGGGGAAUAUUGCGCAAUGGGCGAAAGCCUGACGCAGCGACGCCGCGUGAGGGAUGAAGGUCUUCGGAUCGUAAACCUCUGUCAGCAGGGAAGAACGGUCACUGUGCUAAUCAGCAGUGAAUUGACGGUACCUGCAAAGGAAGCACCGGCUAACUCCGUGCCAGCAGCCGCGGUAAUACGGAGGGUGCGAGCGUUAAUCGGAAUUACUGGGCGUAAAGCGCUCGUAGGCGGUAUGGCAAGUCAAGGGUGAAAUCCCCGCGCUCAACGUGGGAACUGCCUUUGAAACUGGCAGACUGGAGUGUGUGAGAGGAUAGUGGAAUUCCAGGUGUAGGAGUGAAAUCCGUAGAUAUCUGGAGGAACAUCAGUGGCGAAGGCGACUAUCUGGCACAUAACUGACGCUGAGGAGCGAAAGCGUGGGUAGCGAACAGGAUUAGAUACCCGGGUAGUC